This 253-nucleotide ribosomal RNA is filed under the name uncultured bacterium. RNAcentral describes it as "partial 16S ribosomal RNA". It matches the Rfam family "Bacterial small subunit ribosomal RNA", at positions 524 to 776 of the family's 1533-position model. The record is from RNAcentral.
UACGUAGGGGGCAAGCGUUGUCCGGAAUCAUUGGGCGUAAAGCGCGUGUAGGCGGCCCAGUAAGUCCGCUCUGAAAGCCCGGGGCUCAACCCCGGGAGGCGGGUGGAUACUGCUGGGCUCGAGUCCGGAAGAGGCGAGUGGAAUUCCUGGUGUAGCGGUGGAAUGCGCAGAUAUCAGGAGGAACACCGGUGGCGAAGGCGGUUCUCUGGGCCUUACCUGACGCUGAGGAGCGAAAGCGUGGGGAGCGAACAGG